GAGUGUCAUGAAAACAUCAUCCUAUCGGGUUUCCGAUGGGGUGGACUUGGUGUUGCUGUCUGGCUCGCCUUAAAAGCCUUAGUGGUUCCAAGUCGAAUCUGGCGUGAUAAGUUUCGCUGGCCUAGACGAAGACUGCUUUACCCGUCUUGUGACAUUUUUGCUCUGACCUCAAAUCAGGUAGGACUACCCGCCGAACUUAA
Molecule: unclassified non-coding RNA, 200 nt
Filed under: soil metagenome
Description: partial contains internal transcribed spacer 2 and large subunit ribosomal RNA
Source: RNAcentral